ACAUCGGUAGCACAGUGGUUAGUGCAGUCUGCCGGAAAGAGAAAGACGCGGGUUCAAUUCCCGUCCGAUGUU
This 72-nucleotide transfer RNA is filed under the name Nippostrongylus brasiliensis. It matches the Rfam family "tRNA". From Rfam's summary of the family: Transfer RNA (tRNA) molecules are approximately 80 nucleotides in length. Their secondary structure includes four short double-helical elements and three loops (D, anti-codon, and T loops). Lineage: Eukaryota; Metazoa; Nematoda; Chromadorea; Rhabditida; Heligmosomidae. The record is from Rfam by way of RNAcentral.